Molecule: long non-coding RNA, 1461 nt
Organism: Homo sapiens (human)
Lineage: Eukaryota; Metazoa; Chordata; Mammalia; Primates; Hominidae
Source: Ensembl
UACAAUGGGAAGAUGGGGGAGGCAGCACACUGGGGUCAGGAGUGGAGAUACUUAGGCUCCCCAGAGAAAUUAGUCACAAGUCUUAUCCCUUCAUCUCCAUUUACAGCCAUUUAUUUGGGAGCAACAUACUUUAAAUGAGUGAUAAACAAAAUGUCUCCCCACAGCCCCCACCCCAGCAUGUGUUCUGAAGUUCACAGGAAGGCUUCUCCUCAUUUGCUUUGGGGCCCGCAGGCUGCCUGCUAACAGCUGGGUCUUCCCAUGAACAAAUUAGACAGUUAAUGUUCCAGGAUGAAGAGGGCUUCGGGGAACAGAAUCUGCCGUUUAUUUGACUUGCUUCAUUAGACACAGUGCCAUCAUACCAAAAUUAGAAAAAAGAAGGAACUCAGCGGAAAUCAGCUACACAAGAAGAACCUCUCAGUUCUGAGAAUUCACAUUAACCAGUGAUUAAGAAAUAUUAAAAAGGGCUGAUAGUCCACUACGUUAUCAAGUUCAAAGCCUAAGAAAUAUUGAACAUUUCCACACAUGAAUGUGGGUACUAUGUUUAAUUUGAGAAUGGCCAACUGUCCUCGAAGUCUCAAUCUCUUUGGAGCCUACCAGCUCCGAGAGAAGUUUGAGGAUGCUGCAAAACCCUCCCCUGCAAAUCCAUCUACUCCUCCCACUUCUAUCCUAAUGGGUAUAGUUCUUGGCUGUGCUGAGGAUCUGUAAGGCACCAGAUGUGAAAGUAAGGAAGAAAGAUGGAUGUGGAAGAAAGUCACUGCCCAGAGAAUAAGGAGACCUGGAUUCUAAUCUCAGCUCUGCCAUUAACUAGCUAUGAAACUAUGGCUCAAAAGGGAAUAAGAGAUCAAGGCAAGCAUGGACAUCUUGUACGUGGAAGUGCAGACCAGAACUUGUAUCACAGCCAGUCAUAUCUGGUUUUCUUUUGCUUGGGCUCUCUCCCAACCAAAAGCCAUGGAACAUACUCGCCCCAAGGCACCAUCAAUGUGUCCUAAACACUACUACUCCCCCAGCUGGGCUGGAGAUAGCUCCAUCCAGCAGACCCUGCCCUGGCAGAGGUGCAGCCAGGGAACUCUCACCUAAUUAAAGGACAAUCCGGCAGCUCCUACAACGUCACUUGAGUCUGGAUGGAGAGAAGACAGGAAACACAGGAUUCCAAAAUUACAGCCUGAGGCUUUUAUUCCAGAGUCCCUUUCAAAGGCAUGGAUGUCUAUUUGGGUACAUGUGGUGGUCAUCAGAGAAGAGUCAGAAGGCUCAGACCCCUCGGGAAUGGGCAAAGCAAAGAAAGACACAAUAAGCCUGGCAAGACCUCGUAUCUCAGCUUAGAAUGUUUUUUUUCACUCAGUCUCAUGAACAGAUUUAGAAAUACCAUCUGCAGCUCUCCUCCAAGGUUUCUCAAAGGUCCUUGGAGUUAUCUGGGGACAAAAAUGCCAAUUUUGUAAAUAAAGAAACUGAAGCCAAUAAGAA